RNAcentral lists this ribosomal RNA (550 nucleotides) under uncultured bacterium. Its description in RNAcentral is "bacterial SSU rRNA". It matches the Rfam family "Bacterial small subunit ribosomal RNA", at positions 774 to 1335 of the family's 1533-position model. The record is from RNAcentral.
AGUGAAUAGAUACCCUGGUAGUCCACGCCGUAAACUAUGGAUGCUAGCUGUAUCCGGUAUCGACCCCGGAUGUAGCGAAAGCUAACGCGUUAAGCAUCCCGCCUGUGGAGUACGGUCGCAAGACUAAAACAUAAAGGAAUUGACGGGGACCCGCACAAGCGGUGGAGUGUGUUGUUUAAUUCGACGGUAAGCGAAGAACCUUACCCAGGCUUGACAUCCCUUGAAUUUUGUCGAAAGACGAGAGUGCUUUAUUGAACAAGGUGACAGGUGAUGCAUGGCCGUCGUCAGCUCGUGUCGUGAGAUGUUUGGUUAAGUCCAUCAACGAGCGCAACCCUUGUAACUAGUUGGAUUUUUCUAGUUAGACUGCCCUGGUAACAGGGAGGAAGGAGGGGAUGAUGUCAGGUCAGUAUUUCCCUUACGCCUGGGGCUACAAACACGCUACAAUGGCCGGUACAAAGGGCAGCCAAGUCGCAAGACGGAGCAAAUCCCAUCAAAGCCGGUCCCAGUUCGGGUAGCAGGCUGAAACUCGCCUGCUUGAAGUCGGAAUCGC